This 73-nucleotide transfer RNA is filed under the name Streptomyces mutabilis. The record is from RNAcentral. Lineage: Bacteria; Bacillati; Actinomycetota; Actinomycetes; Kitasatosporales; Streptomycetaceae.
CGUGUCGGCGGGCCAGCGCGGGUGCGCCACGGCUGCCCAGCACGGCCGCGGCCGCGAAGGGAGCCGACGUCAG